GACGAACGCUGGCGGCGUGCUUAACACAUGCAAGUCGAACGGAAAGGCCCUGCUGUUGUGGGGUGCUCGAGUGGCGAACGGGUGAGUAACACGUGAGUAACCUGCCCUUGACUUUGGGAUAACUUCAGGAAACUGGGGCUAAUACCGGAUAGGAGCUCCUUCUUCAUGGUGGGGGUGGGAAAGGUUCGGCGGUUGGGGAUGGACGGCCGGCUUUGCAGCUUGUUGGUGGGGUAGUGGCUUACCAAGGCUGUGACGGGUAGCCGGCGUGGGAGGGUGACCGGCCACAUUGGGACUGGGAUACGGCCCAGACUCCUACGGGAGGCAGCAGUGGGGAAUAUUGCACAAUGGGCGGAAGCCUGAUGCAGCAACGCCGCGUGCGGGAUGACGGCCUUCGGGUUGUAAACCGCUUUCGCCUAUGACGAAGAGUGAGUGACGGUAAUGGGUAAAGAAGCACCGGCUAACUACGUG
RNAcentral lists this ribosomal RNA (468 nucleotides) under uncultured bacterium. RNAcentral describes it as "partial 16S ribosomal RNA". It matches the Rfam family "Bacterial small subunit ribosomal RNA", at positions 28 to 507 of the family's 1533-position model. The record is from RNAcentral.